This 593-nucleotide ribosomal RNA is filed under the name Salmonella enterica. RNAcentral describes it as "partial 23S ribosomal RNA". It matches the Rfam family "Bacterial large subunit ribosomal RNA", at positions 1 to 622 of the family's 2925-position model. Lineage: Bacteria; Pseudomonadati; Pseudomonadota; Gammaproteobacteria; Enterobacterales; Enterobacteriaceae. The record is from RNAcentral.
GGGUUGUGAGGUUAAGCGACUAAGCGUACACGGUGGAUGCCCUGGCAGUCAGAGGCGAUGAAGGACGUGCUAAUCUGCGAUAAGCGCCGGUAAGGUGAUAUGAACCGUUAUAACCGGCGAUUUCCGAAUGGGGAAACCCAGUGUGACUCGUCACACUAUCAUUAACUGAAUCCAUAGGUUAAUGAGGCGAACCGGGGGAACUGAAACAUCUAAGUACCCCGAGGAAAAGAAAUCAACCGAGAUUCCCCCAGUAGCGGCGAGCGAACGGGGAGGAGCCCAGAGCCUGAAUCAGCAUGUGUGUUAGUGGAAGCGUCUGGAAAGGCGCGCGAUACAGGGUGACAGCCCCGUACACAAAAGCGCAUGUGCUGUGAGCUCGAUGAGUAGGGCGGGACACGUGGUAUCCUGUCUGAAUAUGGGGGGACCAUCCUCCAAGGCUAAAUACUCCUGACUGACCGAUAGUGAACCAGUACCGUGAGGGAAAGGCGAAAAGAACCCCGGCGAGGGGAGUGAAAAAGAACCUGAAACCGUGUACGUACAAGCAGUGGGAGCACAGGUUUACCUGUGUGACUGCGUACCUUUUGUAUAAUGGGUCA